GCCUCCUUGGCUCAGUUGGUUAGAGCGCAGGUCUCAUAUCUAGCAUAUGAGUAAUCAAAUGAUUACGUAAUCCUGAAAUCCUGAGGUCGCAAGUUCGAACCUUGCAGGGGGCA
This 113-nucleotide transfer RNA is filed under the name Galerina marginata CBS 339.88. It matches the Rfam family "tRNA". Rfam says of the family: Transfer RNA (tRNA) molecules are approximately 80 nucleotides in length. Their secondary structure includes four short double-helical elements and three loops (D, anti-codon, and T loops). Further hydrogen bonds mediate the characteristic L-shaped molecular structure. tRNAs have two regions of fundamental functional importance: the anti-codon, which is responsible for specific mRNA codon recognition, and the 3' end, to which the tRNAs corresponding amino acid is attached (by aminoacyl-tRNA synthetases). tRNAs cope with the degeneracy of the genetic code in two manners: having more than one tRNA (with a specific anti-codon) for a particular amino acid; and 'wobble' base-pairing, i.e. permitting non-standard base-pairing at the 3rd anti-codon position. The record is from Rfam by way of RNAcentral. Lineage: Eukaryota; Fungi; Basidiomycota; Agaricomycetes; Agaricales; Galerinaceae.